AUGGCUGACGCCACCUCGUCACACCGCGCUAAAUCGCCGCCGCUUUGUCGUUUCGCCUCCGCGUUGCCCUUGCCUCGCCCACAUGGCCUUUGCUUUUGCCGGCUCCGGUUCAGCCGCGCGUCGUCCGCAGCCAGGCCGAAUCACUGCCGGAUUCCAUCUGCUCCCAUGAGUCGCCGCCGGACUACGUCCGCGUCUGCGCCGUCCCGCAACGGCCCAGUGCGCUGCCUCGCCUCACGUGUUCCCCAGUCGGCCAUCGCCCCUCUUCGACCGCGUAGGCUGCGACUCGCGACGCCGCACCUUUGGCUGCCGCCCCAACCGUGCGGGCUGCAACUCACGCCGCUGCACCUUGGACUCGCCUCCUCCGUCGCCGAAGUCGCCGCGUCCGAGAGGCCUCACCUCGCCGCUACCUCGCACUGCCGUGGCCGCGUCCUGCUCCUGGGCCGCCUCCGCCAGGGGCUUCCUCGGCUGCAGCCGGGCCGAGUCACCGGCCUUGCCGCCCUCUCCGCCAUGGUGGACCGCCUCGGCGUGCCCCCCGUGAGCAGACCGCGCCUCGCCUGGCCGGUGCCCCUCCACCGACGUGCCCCGGUUUUGCCGGCCUCGCCAUCCACUGCGGUCGACCGCACCGGCGUGGCCUUGAAUCGCUACCUUCGACUAACCGCCAUCCCAGGCCUCGGGCUGCCAGGGGCCUCCUGCCGUCGCAGCAAGCCUGCCGGCCGGCCCUGUUGCCUCAUUGCCAGAGCCACCGUCCAGAUCACCCCGGCCUCAAGAUCGCCGACGCCAAGUCGCCAAAAUUGCUGUCGCCUUCUACCUCGUGAUGCCCCGAAUCACCUUGCGCCACUUCAGCCGUGCUCUUCCAUGAACCGCCAUCAUCGGUUCACCUCAGCUCGAGCGGUUGCCGGGUCACCACGGGCUCCGGUUUACCACCCGCACCAGCGCCCUGGCUCCUUUCUCACUGUGCAUCAAAACGGGCGCAAGUCACCACCGCUACCUCCGCCGUGGUUCACCGUGGCCAGAGCAGCUCUGGCUCGGAGUCCCUCCGUCUCUGUCUUGAACCGGGUCCGCCUUCGAGCUGGCCGCCCUCUGCCGUCGCGGCCUCGUCCGCUCCUCUGCCAUCGCCGGUUCGCCGUCCUCUGCCGUCGCGGCCUCGGCCUUGCUCUGAAUCGUCAGGAGGGUCUCGCUCCGAGUGGCUCCAAGCCGCCGUCGCUGGCUCGCCUUCGCUGUCAGGACCAUCCCUGCAGCCGCGCCAACACUGCAUGCCGGUCCCGACUGGGUUAUGCCUCUGUUUAUGUUUGUGGACAAGGGAUGUUUCUGUUGUGGCCUUGCCUUCGUGACCGGUUUUGCUGCGUGUUACUUCCGCUCUAA
Molecule: ribosomal RNA, 1362 nt
Filed under: Triticum aestivum (bread wheat)
Lineage: Eukaryota; Viridiplantae; Streptophyta; Magnoliopsida; Poales; Poaceae
Description: partial small subunit ribosomal RNA
Source: RNAcentral